UUGGUAACCUGGGAGGCUAGUUUAGAAGGUAUUCUACCCUGAGCAAGACGGUAUUUGACUCUUGGACUGUCUUUGACUGGCAUUGGAGGGCCUUUUGGGAAACUUAAUUUGAGCAGCGUCGAGGCUUCAUUGAGCAGGGUUCGUGACUCCUUUUGGCUGGAUUGAGCUUGGUGAUAGGUGGGUCGGACCUUCCCGAAAUGGGUGAAUUUUCCUCUAUGUCUCCUUUGACAUCUGAGUUGAAGUUAUUCCAUAUGCAUGUGAAUAUUUAUAUAGUUCCGGGCAUUGCGACAUGCAUUGAUGUGUAGAUCAUAUCGGAUAUGAUAGCAUCGGUAAAUGGUAAUUACAGACUUAUGACUUGUCCAUUCUACAUGGUUACCUGUUAAGUACUAUGGAUUCAUGACACUAGCAGCUGACAUAUGCAAUUUUGGCUUGUUGUUAUCCACGAGGAUAGAAUGGUAAGUUUGUGAAUGGACUAAUUAGUUCUGUUGAACAACAAAGAGAUGGAUGCAUUUAGGAAUGAGCUAUGCAAUGGUAUGUAUAAUUGCUAUACUCUGAAAGAUCAGGUAAAGGCCUUUGUUUGGCAUAUGCAUUUCUAAUUGUAGAAUGAAUGGCAUAGAGAUCAUGUGAAGAGUGUUUUAUCGCUUGUUUUACUUGCUUGCAUUACCUUGUUAGUUUCUACUUUCACAUGAUAGCCUUGUAUUAUGGUAUAUG
Long non-coding RNA from Ananas comosus (pineapple), 711 nucleotides. RefSeq lists it as uncharacterized. The record is from RefSeq and is a predicted model, not a curated record. The transcript has 3 exons. Lineage: Eukaryota; Viridiplantae; Streptophyta; Magnoliopsida; Poales; Bromeliaceae.